This 496-nucleotide ribosomal RNA is filed under the name uncultured bacterium. Its description in RNAcentral is "partial 16S ribosomal RNA". It matches the Rfam family "Bacterial small subunit ribosomal RNA", at positions 28 to 507 of the family's 1533-position model. The record is from RNAcentral.
GAUGAACGCUGGCGGCGUGCCUAAUACAUGCAAGUCGAGCGAACAGACGAGGAGCUUGCUCCUCUGACGUUAGCGGCGGACGGGUGAGUAACACGUGGAUAACCUACCUAUAAGACUGGGAUAACUUCGGGAAACCGGAGCUAAUACCGGAUAAUAUAUUGAACCGCAUGGUUCAAUAGUGAAAGACGGUUUUGCUGUCACUUAUAGAUGGAUCCGCGCCGCAUUAGCUAGUUGGUAAGGUAACGGCUUACCAAGGCAACGAUGCGUAGCCGACCUGAGAGGGGGAUCGGCCACACUGGAACUGAGAAACGGUCCAGCCUCCUACGGGAGGCAGCAGUAGGGAAUCUUCCGCAAGGGGCGAAAGCCUGACCGAGCAACGCCGCGUGAGUGAUGAAGGUCUUCGGAUCGUAAAACGCUGUUAUUAGGAAGAACAAAUGUGUAAGUAACUAUGCACGUCUUGACGGUACCUAAUCAGAAAGCCACGGCUAACUACGUG